AAGCCUCUUCCAAGAUUAAUUUUCCCUGGGGGUUUAACCCCCCUGAAGGGCCGUUCAAGACUAGGACGUUGAUAGGUUGGGUGUGGAAGCGCUGCGAGGCGUUGAGCUAACCAAUACUAAUUGCCCGUGAGGCUUGACCAUAUAACGCAAG
RNAcentral lists this ribosomal RNA (151 nucleotides) under Porticoccaceae bacterium. Its description in RNAcentral is "partial 23S ribosomal RNA". It matches the Rfam family "Bacterial large subunit ribosomal RNA", at positions 2790 to 2925 of the family's 2925-position model. The record is from RNAcentral. Lineage: Bacteria; Pseudomonadati; Pseudomonadota; Gammaproteobacteria; Cellvibrionales; Porticoccaceae.